GGAUUAGAUACCCUGGUAGUCCACGCCCUAAACGAUGUCAACUAGCCGUUGGGUUUUUAAAAACUUAGUGGCGCAGCUAACGCGAUAAGUUGACCGCCUGGGGAGUACGGUCGCAAGAUUAAAACUCAAAGGAAUUGACGGGGGCCCGCACAAGCGGUGGAGCAUGUGGUUUAAUUCGAUGCAACGCGAAGAACCUUACCAGGCCUUGACAUCCUGAGAACUUUCUAGAGAUAGAUUGGUGCCUUCGGGAACUCAGUGACAGGUGCUGCAUGGCUGUCGUCAGCUCGUGCCG
RNAcentral lists this ribosomal RNA (292 nucleotides) under uncultured bacterium. RNAcentral's name for it is "partial 16S ribosomal RNA". It matches the Rfam family "Bacterial small subunit ribosomal RNA", at positions 775 to 1067 of the family's 1533-position model. The record is from RNAcentral.